This 193-nucleotide unclassified non-coding RNA is filed under the name fungal sp. RNAcentral describes it as "partial internal transcribed spacer region". The record is from RNAcentral. Lineage: Eukaryota; Fungi.
GAGCAUCUGUUAUUACCGAUUAUCAGGAAAAUUUAGAGAAGACGUGGCUCGUGCAGCUACGAAAGAAAUACCCUGUUAAAGUAAAUGAGAAAGCAAAGAAACAUGUGGUGGAAGAACUUAAGCCUUAAAAUUGUUUUCAUUGGCCUGCUUGCACUUUGCGGAUGUGAGUUUAUAAAAAUGAAAAGCGGUGUGG